Molecule: long non-coding RNA, 1097 nt
Organism: Acanthochromis polyacanthus (spiny chromis)
Lineage: Eukaryota; Metazoa; Chordata; Actinopteri; Pomacentridae
Exons: 5
Source: RefSeq, a predicted model, not a curated record
CACAUUUCAGAGAAAGACGUGUUCAGAGAAAGGAGUCCGCUGACGGCCAGAGAGGAGAGAGAGAGAGAGAGAAAGAGAGAGAGGUGACCAGAUCCCUGUGGAGCUGCCUCGAAGAAGGAUCCUAAUAUCACGUAUCAGUUAGAUGACCAAGUUAGGGCCUACAUGACCGCUGCAGCUCAGUGCCGGAGCUCAGAUCAAUGGAAUACUGUGGGGGAUAUAACGGACCACACCCACAUACUGAUUAGACCCUCUGAUUGGAUAUCACGUGGAUGACUUGACCACUACCAUGGCUUUCAUGCAAAUUGAUCAAGUGGGCUUUUGCCUCCUCUGACCAGCAGACAGUGACCUUUAAAGGAGAUGCCAGAAGACUCUGUAAGACAAUGUUACCCCUUCACCCUUUCACCAAAUAGGCCUGUACGCCUUUCCAUUUGCAAGCGUGUCGACCAAGAGUGAUGUUAAUGGAGGUGGAGAGGAACGAACACAUCAGAACGGCGGAGGCAAAAGAAGCAGCUGUGAGGAGCCUGGAAGGUCCCCCAACACUGGCCCUCACCUGUGUCACCUCUGCCUGUCAGUGCCAUCGAGGUGCGUCAGUCCUCUGCUUUGGCAUCUUUUCACCUGUGGCGUUGCGCUGUUUCUCGCCAGCUAGCACGCUUCUACCCUCUCCCACCCCUCCUGCCUCGUGUCCCUCAAGGCAUCUGCCACUCACCUGUCAGUUCUUUCAUCAACUCCUGGUUUCCUCCUACCUUCUUGCAACGGCUUCGGCGAAGGCGGGAAAGAAACCAUCGGAGCGAGAAAGGUGACCAUUUUGUCCCAGUUCCAGGUUUAGCAGCUGCAAAGGAUGACGCAUCAAGGAGGUGAUGACUGACAGCCACUUCACACUGAAGCAGGCUUCUGUAUGGAGGUACUAGAAUAGGGAGAAUUCACAGGUUACAUAUUUGAGGAAUGUCUGUAAUAGGUAACAUGUUUGUUUUUUAUGAUUGUACCCAUUAUGAUAGAACAAUAAGGUCAAGUACAUGAAGUCUCAAUUUCUGUUGUGAAUUAGGAUUAGCUGUCACCAUGUGUUAAGGGCAACUUUAUUAAAAUUAUUUGGAAAAGAA